GUGUCAGCAGCCGCGGUAAUACGGAGGGUGCAAGCGUUGUCCGGAUUUAUUGGGUUUAAAGGGUGCGUAGGCGGCCCUGUAAGUCAGUGGUGAAAGCCUCCAGCUCAACUGGAGAACUGCCAUUGAUACUGCAGGGCUUGAGUACAGACGAGGUUGGCGGAAUUGAUAGUGUAGCGGUGAAAUGCAUAGAUACUAUCAAGAACUCCGAUUGCGUAGGCAGCUAACUAGGCUGUAACUGACGCUGAGGCACGAAAGCGUGGGGAGCGAACAGGAUUAGAUACCCUGGUAGUCCACGCCGUAAACGAUGAUUACUCGAUGUCGGCGAUAAACAGUCGGCGUCUUAGCGAAAGCGUUAAGUAAUCCACCUGGGGAGUACGCCCGCAAGGGUGAA
RNAcentral lists this ribosomal RNA (391 nucleotides) under uncultured bacterium. RNAcentral's name for it is "bacterial SSU rRNA". It matches the Rfam family "Bacterial small subunit ribosomal RNA", at positions 505 to 898 of the family's 1533-position model. The record is from RNAcentral.